ACAAGCGGUGGAGUAUGUGGUUUAAUUCGAUGCAACGCGAAGAACUUACCUGGUCUUGACAUCCCGGAGACCCUUAGGAAACUAGGGGUGCUUCCAUCUGGAAGAAUCUGGAGACAGGUGCUGCAUGGCUGUCGUCAGCUCGUGUCGUGAGAUGUUGGGUUUAAGUCCCGCAACGAGCGCAACCCUUGCCUUUAGUUGCCAGCAGUUCGGCUGGGCACUCUAAAGGGACUGCCGGUGUUAAACCGGAGGAAGGUGGGGAUGACGUCAAGUCCUCAUGGCCUUUAUGACCAGGGCUACACACGUACUACAAUGGCCGAUACAAAGGGCAGCGACACUGCGAGGUGAAGCCAAUCCCGUAAAAUCGGUCUCAGUCCGGAUUGGAGUCUGCAACUCGACUCCAUGAAGUUGGAAUCGCUAGUAAUCGUGGAUUAGCAUGCCACGGUGAAUACGUUCCCGGGCCUU
RNAcentral lists this ribosomal RNA (462 nucleotides) under uncultured Desulfobulbus sp. RNAcentral describes it as "bacterial SSU rRNA". It matches the Rfam family "Bacterial small subunit ribosomal RNA", at positions 925 to 1382 of the family's 1533-position model. The record is from RNAcentral. Lineage: Bacteria; Pseudomonadati; Thermodesulfobacteriota; Desulfobulbia; Desulfobulbales; Desulfobulbaceae.